GGAGAGAGAUCAGGCGCAGGACCGACAUUAACGUGCUCUCCGAUGCACGGGUGUAUCAAUCACUAACAUCCAGACUGCGUGAUGACAGCGUUAAAAAUAAUCUGUGAAGUUUUGCAAUAUAUUUCGGCGCUUGCGUGACCAAUGUGACGUUUGAAGUAUGCGUCAGUAGAAACAUGGUGUUUGGACGUGAUUGUUUAAAUAAUAAACUUUGGAAUUCCUA
Molecule: long non-coding RNA, 220 nt
Organism: Helicoverpa zea (corn earworm)
Lineage: Eukaryota; Metazoa; Arthropoda; Insecta; Lepidoptera; Noctuidae
Exons: 2
Source: RefSeq, a predicted model, not a curated record